RNAcentral lists this microRNA (21 nucleotides) under Sorghum bicolor (sorghum). RNAcentral's name for it is "sbi-miR6232b-3p". The record is from miRBase by way of RNAcentral. Lineage: Eukaryota; Viridiplantae; Streptophyta; Magnoliopsida; Poales; Poaceae.
AAUUCGAUGUACCAAAAAAGU